GACGAACGCUGGCGGCGUGCUUAACACAUGCAAGUCGAACGGAAAGGCCCUGCUUUGGUUGGGGGCUCGAGGGGCGAACGGGUGAGUAACACGGGAGUAACCUGCCCUGGACUUGGGGAUAACGCCAGGAAACUGGGACUAAUACCGGAUAGGAGCUGCGGCAGCAUGGUGGGGGUAGGAAAGUUUCGGCGGUUGGGGAUGGACUCGCGGCUUAUGAGCUUGUGAGUGGGGUAGUGGCUUACCAAGGCUUUGACGGGUAGCCGGCCUGAGAGGUUGACCGGCCACCAUGGGACUGAGAUACGGCGCAGACGGCUACGGGAGGCAGCAGUGGGGAAUAUUGCACAGUGAGCGGAAGCCUGAUGCAGCAGCGUCGCGUUCGGGAUGACGGCCUUCGAGUUGUAAACCGCUUUCGCCUGUGACGCAGCGUGAGUGACGGUAAUUGGUAAAGAAGCACCGGCUAACUACGUG
RNAcentral lists this ribosomal RNA (468 nucleotides) under uncultured bacterium. RNAcentral describes it as "partial 16S ribosomal RNA". It matches the Rfam family "Bacterial small subunit ribosomal RNA", at positions 28 to 507 of the family's 1533-position model. The record is from RNAcentral.